RNAcentral lists this ribosomal RNA (769 nucleotides) under uncultured bacterium. RNAcentral describes it as "bacterial SSU rRNA". It matches the Rfam family "Bacterial small subunit ribosomal RNA", at positions 28 to 776 of the family's 1533-position model. The record is from RNAcentral.
AUUGAACGCUGGCGGCAGGCCUAACACAUGCAAGUCGAGCGGCAGCGACUUAACUGAACCUUCGGGGAACGUUAAGGGCGGCGAGCGGCGGACGGGUGAGUAAUGCCUGGGAAUAUGCCCUGAUGUGGGGGAUAACUAUUGGAAACGAUAGCUAAUACCGCAUAAUCUCUUCGGAGCAAAGAGGGGGACCUUCGGGCCUCUCGCGUCAGGAUUAGCCCAGGUGGGAUUAGCUUGUUGGUGAGGUAAUGGCUCACCAAGGCAACGAUCCCUAGCUGGUCUGAGAGGAUGAUCAGCCACACUGGAACUGAGACACGGUCCAGACUCCUACGGGAGGCAGCAGUGGGGAAUAUUGCACAAUGGGGGAAACCCUGAUGCAGCCAUGCCGCGUGUGUGAAGAAGGCCUUCGGGUUGUAAAGCACUUUCAGUAGGGAGGAAGGUAGUGUAGUUAACACCUGCAUUAUUUGACGUUACCUACAGAAGAAGCACCGGCUAACUCCGUGCCAGCAGCCGCGGUAAUACGGAGGGUGCGAGCGUUAAUCGGAAUUACUGGGCGUAAAGCGCAUGCAGGCGGCCUGUUAAGCCAGAUGUGAAAGCCCGGGGCUUAACCUCGGAAUUGCAUUUGAAACUGGCAGGCUAGAGUCUUGUAGAGGGGGGUAGAAUUUCAGGUGUAGCGGUGAAAUGCGUAGAGAUCUGAAGGAAUACCAGUGGCGAAAGCGGCCCCCUGGACAAAGACUGACGCUCAGAUGCGAAAGCGUGGGGAGCAAACAGG